AGUAACACCUCGCUUCCUCCCUGCUGCAGAGACCUGGGAGGGCCCUGCCCAGCACAGCACACUGGAGUGGCCCUGCGGCAGCAUCUGGGCUGCUGUACCCAUGGUGCCUCCCAGCCCGAGGGGCUCCCGGCAGCUCUGGAGACUCCUGCUGUCACGUCACCUGGCCCCUCACCAUCACCAUCCUCAUCUCUCUUGGGAAUUAAGACAUUGAAGGAACUGCUGCUGCCAGCAAGAGAGGCUGUUGCAAGAAAGAAAGGCUGCUGCAAGAAACGCAAGAAAGGCUGCUGCCAGCAUUGCAUUUCUGUCAAGAAGCUGCCCCGCAAAAUUUAUGGAUGUAUCGCUGUAUGCACCUAAUAGCAAGCUCUACUGGAUGAAUGGCUUAUAAAGAUCUCCCCUGAAUAAAAUUGUGGUUUUUAACUUU
This 421-nucleotide long non-coding RNA is filed under the name Homo sapiens (human). RNAcentral's name for it is "HSALNT0353498". Lineage: Eukaryota; Metazoa; Chordata; Mammalia; Primates; Hominidae. The record is from RNAcentral.